Molecule: ribosomal RNA, 443 nt
Filed under: uncultured bacterium
Lineage: Bacteria
Description: partial 16S ribosomal RNA
Rfam family: Bacterial small subunit ribosomal RNA
Source: RNAcentral
CCUACGGGUGGCAGCAGUGGGGAAUAUUGGACAAUGGGCGCAAGCCUGACCCAGCAACGCCGCGUGAAGGAAGAAGGAUUUCGGGUUGUAAACUUCUUUUCUCAGGGACGAAGAAAGUGACGGUACAUGAGGAAUAAGCCACUGAUAACUACGUGCCAGCAGCCGCGGUAAUACGUAGGCGGCAAGCGUUAUCCUGUUGUCUUGGGUGUAAAGGGCGUGUAGGCGGGAGCGCAAGUCAGAUGUGAAAACUCAGGGCUCAACCCUGGGCCUGCAUUUGAAACUGUGUAUCUUGAGUGCUGGAGAGGCAAUCGGAAGUCCGUGUGUAGCGGUGAAAUGCGUAGAUAUACGGAGGAACACCAGUGGCGAAGGCGGAUUGCUGGACAGUAACUGACGCUGAGGCGCGAAAGCGUGGGGAGCAAACAGGAUUAGAUACCCGAGUAGUC